This 91-nucleotide transfer RNA is filed under the name Candidatus Omnitrophota bacterium. RNAcentral's name for it is "tRNA-Ser". It matches the Rfam family "tRNA". From Rfam's summary of the family: Transfer RNA (tRNA) molecules are approximately 80 nucleotides in length. Their secondary structure includes four short double-helical elements and three loops (D, anti-codon, and T loops). The record is from RNAcentral. Lineage: Bacteria; Pseudomonadati; Candidatus Omnitrophota.
GGAAGGGUGCGUGAGUGGUUUAAACGGCCGGUCUUGAAAACCGGUGUGGGCCUUGCGCUCACCGUGAGUUCGAAUCUCACCCCUUCCGCCA